CCACCCCCAUUUCUCAUCUUUUACUUCCUCUCUCUUUCUCCUCUCUCCCUCAAGCGAUGGAGCCCUAAAAUUUUCUAUUGUUGGAUCUUACAGAUCCAUCACCUUGGAGGCUUGGAAGAGACCAAGAACACCUAGGAGGAGCUCUAGGAGAGUGAAGGCAACCCUCUCAACCCGUUUUUUCUGUGCUAGAAGGCGGAGAGGUGAGUUGGUUUCUUAGGGUUUGUUUGGAGUUUUUCCAAAUUAGGGAUUUUUGAGGUUCUAACUUUAUUAGAACUAUUUUUAUAAUUUUCUUGAGGCUCUACGAAGAUCAAGAGGAUCAUUCUUUAGAAGAGAUCUAAAAGAAAAUAAAAAAUAUCACCGAAAUGAGUUUGAUCUCCCUUUUGUCUAAAGUUUUUUUUUUUUAUUAGAUGUACGUAUUAUGAGUAAUAAGCAAACUAAAAAGUGUUUAAUUGCAUGACAGGAGAUUUAGUGGGUUAAGAUGACGUAUAAACAUUUGACAAAAUAGGGUUUUGAACCUAUUGUCUGAUGAAAGGUAAACAUAUGACACACAUGUGUAAGAAACUAUGUAAACCUUAUUGUAUAGGUGAAACAAGUGGCAUCCAACCUAGGAUGGAACCUACGAUGUCGAAGCAGUGGCAUUGAAGCUAGGUUGAAACCUAAGGCAUGAUCAUAGUGGCAUUGAACUCUAGAAUGAACUUGACAUAGAGAACAAGAAAUUGGUAAAUGUAUAAUGUGAAUAAUCCUAGAAGUCAAGAACUUAGGGUGAAAUGGUAAAAUAUGCGCAGCAUUAUGAAAAUUUCAAACUUGGAAAAUGUUGAUCUCCCUAGACUUCCAAUGUAAAGGGAGAUGUCAAUCCCCUCGACUCCUAAUGUUGUAAAGGGAGAUGCUGAUCCUCUUAACUCCCUAUCGUACUUGGUAAUACCUAUCCCUCGACACCAAGUGUCUAUCGAUUGUAGAUAUGCCGAUCUUCCUCAAUGCUCCAUGAGGUGUGUACCUACCAAUUGGAGAGAAGUCUGAUCUCUCUUGACUCUUCAUGAGGUGUGUAAUAAGAAAGAAAACCAAACUAAUAAGUUAGUAAAAGUAUAGAAAUGAAAUGAGGCAAUUGUAUAGGCUAAUGAUAUAGCAAAUCAUUGUUGUAUAUUGUAUAUAUGUUGAGACGCAAUAGUUUUAUUUCAGUUUAUUACAUUUAUAUUAUAAAAAUGGUUAAUUUUAUAAUAUAAAUGUAAUAAAUAGGAAUCUAACCUCUAUGUUGGCAUCGGUGGUAAUUUUCUCACCGAGCUUCUGCGAAAAUACUGCUUAAAAAUAUAUUAAAGCAGUUCAUGAACAAAGCAUUACAUAAAUUGUUAAUCUUUUUUUAAAAAAAAUUGGCAAGCCAAAAAACUUAUUUUAAUUCGGCAAAACUCUAGAUUUUUUAUUUGGUAUUUGUCUAGCGGCUAUUUCUAAGACUCGUAAAUGGAGAAUAUGUUGCAAAAGUCAGGUCAGUCACACCGACAAUUAGGUGGGUGAAGCAUCUACCCAGCCAUAAAUUGCUGCUCUAGUUGUGUAGAAAGUCACCUUCACGUGUCGCUGUCAAAUUCCUAACUAGUACUAGGCAAUAAUAAACUUCUAAUUAGUUGAUUAAGUUAAUGAUUGACAGCAACAACACUCGCAUAUAUUGCAUUAGUGUCCAAAUCAAUUAGACCCACUGAACACUGAUCACAUUUUCUCAGCCACAUAAACUGGAAUUCAUAAACAAUCUCAUCCCACCAUUCAUAGUUUGCCCCAAAGACCGGCGCGAAGACUGACCCAAGGCUUCAACGCCCAUCAAAGAGAAACAAAGACCUACAAGCAAUUGCAUAUAUUUCAGCUUUUGCGGUGCCGCAAAGUUGAAACUAGCUAUUGAGCCCCAGCUGAAGCUUUUGCAAGGGGAGCUGUCGACGGGGGUAUCGACG
RNAcentral lists this long non-coding RNA (1931 nucleotides) under Ananas comosus (pineapple). RNAcentral's name for it is "long non-coding RNA (ACOM_LNC006823)". The record is from RNAcentral. Lineage: Eukaryota; Viridiplantae; Streptophyta; Magnoliopsida; Poales; Bromeliaceae.